This 321-nucleotide long non-coding RNA is filed under the name Sorghum bicolor (sorghum). Its description in RNAcentral is "long non-coding RNA (SBIC_LNC005877)". The record is from RNAcentral. Lineage: Eukaryota; Viridiplantae; Streptophyta; Magnoliopsida; Poales; Poaceae.
AGGGGGUUAUCAGGAAAUAAGGAAGAAAGGCCCACAUGUCGGGAUUACAUAGAGAUAUCAACCCACCACGCAAUUUUCUACCAUCUAGAAGACUCCAGAAGCCACGGGAAGGAAGCGGAGCCCGAAAGGGGCCAGGCCCAGGGCGCCCGCCCUGAGGACCUGGGCGCCCGCCCCCCUCUGGACUCCGUUCCAGACUCUCUUCGCACACGACGUUCCACCGACCUAUUGGAUCCAGAAUAACAUAGUACCACCUCGCCUAUCGACCCAAAAACGCAUAGAAGGGGAGGACUAUAUAAGGAGACCCCCUCUGGCCCCUGGAGG